AUCUUGUGAUUUAGUAGAUGAAU
Molecule: small nuclear RNA, 23 nt
Filed under: Arabidopsis thaliana (thale cress)
Lineage: Eukaryota; Viridiplantae; Streptophyta; Magnoliopsida; Brassicales; Brassicaceae
Description: snRNA_18983
Source: RNAcentral